AUUUGUACGCGUAAAGAGAGAGAGAGAGAGAGAACGAACAACGAAGAACCAGAGCUCCGCCCGACCCACUCGACACACGAUGACGAUGACGAACCAGACCCAAGCCCAAUGACGACGAACACACCAAGAAACACGAAAAAGAAGAAGAAGAUUGAAGAGAAGAUCGAAGAAGAAGAACUGGACUGAAGAGAAGAAAGAACGACGAAUGACUGAAAUGGCAGAAAAACAAGACUAACACCAGUGAACUACACAUGAAUCUACUGCGUCCGAGCCUCUGAUGUUGCUAUUUCUAUGGCAGAAGCAUAAGGAGAUGACCGUUUUGAUUUCUCUUUGGGGUGUAGCCUUCUUUUGAGUUGCAGAAGCAUAUGAGGGGAUGGCUGAAGCAUGAGUGGAAGGUUACCAGUCAAUUUUAGUGUAGAGACUUGAGUGCAUGAGUUCCAAUUAUGUAAUGCCUUCAUUGUAUAAAUUCAUGUAACCGAUUCACACCUCUUUCCAUAGUCACAUCUUGUAGUUGUGUACAAACUAGUAAAGAACUACUCUGUUUGAUCAAAGUUGUCUAUGAUGCCCACUUGGAAGGGCCAGCUACCCUACCAAGUUGUAGAAUUUUUGUAAAUGGAAAUGGUGAUUCAAUGAUUGAAGUGA
Molecule: long non-coding RNA, 642 nt
Organism: Rhododendron vialii
Lineage: Eukaryota; Viridiplantae; Streptophyta; Magnoliopsida; Ericales; Ericaceae
Exons: 3
Source: RefSeq, a predicted model, not a curated record